This 22-nucleotide non-coding RNA is filed under the name Cricetulus griseus (Chinese hamster). RNAcentral also lists the same sequence under 2 other names. Lineage: Eukaryota; Metazoa; Chordata; Mammalia; Rodentia; Cricetidae. The record is from miRBase by way of RNAcentral.
UGCCCCCUCCAGGAAGCCUUCU